This is an RNA transcript of Manihot esculenta (cassava), 2691 nucleotides long. It is a transcript of the gene named putative transcription factor bHLH041, with no coding region annotated. The transcript has 9 exons. NCBI's taxonomy places the organism in Eukaryota, Viridiplantae, Streptophyta, Magnoliopsida, Malpighiales, Euphorbiaceae. The record is from RefSeq and is a predicted model, not a curated record.
GAAAAUUCUCAUAGUUAUAAACUGGUGGGCUCCUAUUAUCUUGAUCUUUCAUCAUUGAUCAUUAAUCAUCGUCUCCCCCCUACUACUUUUCAAAGGCUCUCUCUCUCUCUGCAGGCCCGUAGGCCACGGCAGAAAGCUCAGCAAAUUAAGCUCCUUCUGUUUAAUUUUCAAAUCUUUGUCACACCCACCAAACUUGCAGCCAAACCUAUACUAAUAAAGUAGAUUUUUGCUACAUGUGGAGAGACACACGUAGCUCAUUCCACAGUCCAGUUCUUUGAAUUGCUUUCUUUUAAACGAUCUUUCAUUCUUAUACUUUUCAUCAAAUGAAUGUUCCAUCCAUGGAGAUCAAAGGUAGAGACAUAAUCAAAUGACAUCAAGAAGACAGAGCAGCAUAGAGAUCCUAAUUGAGCAGGGGAUUUCUCAUGCAGCUGCAUGCAUCUUUAGCUAAUUUAUAGCUAUUUACAUGGAUACCGUGUUUUCGCUUCUCAUCAAUGAAGCAGACCGUGCCGGCUAUCUUCGAUCGCUGAUGCAGUCUUUUGGCUGCAAUUACAUUUGUGUUUGGUUCGACAUGCCUCAACCAAACCACCAUUUAUACUUUCUGGAUGGAUAUUACCACGAAGAAAACAAUCAACCAGGCUCUUCGUCGGGAAGCUUAGCUCGGAGGCUUUUUGAUGAAUAUCGGCAAGAAAACUUCUUGCCUGUAAAUAACCGUGUUCCCGGAAUGGCUUUCGUAAAUAAUCAACCCUAUAGAGAGUUAAGUGAAUCUGAACUUCAAAGAAUGGCAUCUGUUACUGUGCAGCAGCGAUUCUAUCAGGAAGCGAGGAUCAAGACUGCAGUGUUCAUGGGGUGCAGAAAUGGGGAGAUUGAAAUGGGCUGGUCCAGUGGGAUGACUCAAAUUAACAUGGAAAACGCGAUCAGGAGUUUGUUUUCAGAAGACAUUCCUCAUCAGCAAUCUCCACUGAGAGAACUUUCGCAAGCGAUUGAUCCAAACAGGCCUUCAUCAUCUUCCUCCUCGUUGAGAUCACUAUCCAUGGAUAGCCCAGAUAGCUCUCCUUUUUUGUUUAAUAUUCCAAUUACAUCUCAUUUUUCAGAAAUCCCUCAAGAGACUCCCUCAUUGCAACCAAUUCAAAGCACAUCAAGUGCGAUCCAACGAGUCUUGCAAUCUUUGCAGCAAGUAAAAAAUACAACUAACCCACUUCGACAAACCAUGCAAUUGCAGCCAGCACAAAGCUCAACUAUCCCACUACAACCAGCCGUGCCAUCUUUGCAGCCUAUGCCGAGCCCAACUAGAUCCCACCAAGCAGCCUUGCAAGCAUUUGCCUUGACAAGAAACGUUCAUUUACCAUCCCAAGAGAGUGAAGAUGCUGCAAUGACAAGAGCCAUUCUGGCAGUUCUAACUUCUCCUUCAUCUUCUACUUCUUCAAUAACCCCUAACCCACCUUCCAAUUACCGGGAAAACCAAAGAACUAGUGCUUUCAAGAAUUAUCUGACCCCCACAAGACCAAUGAGCCAAAGUUUACGCAAGCAAAGUAUGCUUAAAAGGGCAAUCACUUAUUACAGAAGCUUAAAUAUUGCGAGACGGGAACAUAUGGUGGCAAGUCGUCCUACAAGCACUCAGUUGCACCACAUGAUAUCAGAGCGCAGAAGGCGUGAAAAGAUCAAUGAAAGCUUUGAAGCAUUGAGAAAACUUCUCCCUCCAGAAGCCAAGAAAGACAAAGCAUCAGUGCUUACUCGAACAAGGGAUUAUUUAACCUCGUUGAAAGCUCAAAUCGACGAGCUUAGCAAGAGAAACCAGCAAUUAGAGGCACAAAUAAAGCAACUACCGGAGAAAGAAGUUGCACAAGAUGCCUUUCAGUCCUCAUCAAAUGAAAGAGUUGAAGUCCAGGUAACAAAUAUCUCUGAAUCAACAUCAGAAGAACAAAGAAUCAUCGACCUUCGAGUUGUACUAAGAGGAGAAUAUCCUAUUCAAGAUAUGGUGAUUCGGAUUCUGGAGUUCUUAAACCAAGUUAAUAACGUGAACGCGAUGUCUUUAGAAGCCAACACGCGUACAACAGAAUCAAGAUCCUUGAAUCUUGUAGCCUUGAGACUGAAAAUUGAGGGAGAAGAAUGGGACGAGUCUGCCUUCCAGGAAGCAGUAAAAAGGGUUGUUUCUGGCCUGGCACAGUGACACAAUUGGGACCCCUACUUUCCAGCUUAUUCAUUCUUGAAAUAUUAGAUCUCAGAUCAAAUGUAGAAGUCUAACUAAAUUCUUGUCUGGUGGCGGCGCCGCCACUUCUUACUCUCCAUAUCCUAGGCUAUUAGGGCAAGGCUGGACCCUAAAGAAAAAAUGCAGGUCAAAAGCUAAUCAGUUCAUUCUUAAGCAGACCGACCCAAUACCGUAGACUCUAGUCUGAAAAAGUGGGGCAGGCCAGAUCUCAUAUGAGUACGGGUCUAACAGGAGGUGAUCCAGCUCGGUGAUGUGAUGUGAGGGAGAAUAGCUGGUCCAGUUACUUUGCACCCCUACCUGCAUGCGCGCCAAGAGAAAUUAAAUGGCCGUCUAGCGUGGAAAUAGGGUCUGACGCUUUCGUACAUACGAAUCUGAAUGACAGAGACAAGUGGUACUGUAAUAGAGAUGCGAUUAGACGUCACUAGCAGAUAAAAGGAAAAGAGAUAAAAGAUAAGGCAUAUCUCAUUCUCUAAUUAAGCUCACAC